CAGUCGCCGCGGUAAUACGUAGGGGGCUAGCGUUGCUCGGAAUUACUGGGCGUAAAGGGCGCGUAGGCGGAUGAUUAAGUCGAGGGUGAAAGCCCGGGGCUCAACCUCGGAACUGCCUUUGAUACUGGUCAUCUUGAGUACGGGAGAGGUGUGUGGAACUCCGAGUGUAGAGGUGAAAUUCGUAGAUAUGCGGAGGAACACCGAUGGCGAAGGCAAUCCCCUGGGCCUGCACUGACGCUCAUGCACGAAAGCGUGGGGAGCAAACAGGAUUAGAUACCCCCGUAGUCCCUGUCUCUUAUAC
This 301-nucleotide ribosomal RNA is filed under the name uncultured bacterium. Its description in RNAcentral is "partial 16S ribosomal RNA". It matches the Rfam family "Bacterial small subunit ribosomal RNA", at positions 509 to 807 of the family's 1533-position model. The record is from RNAcentral.